GACGAACGCUGGCGGCGUGCUUAACACAUGCAAGUCGAACGGAAAGGCCCUGCUUUUGUGGGGUGCUCGAGUGGCGAACGGGUGAGUAACACGUGAGUAACCUGCCCUUGACUUUGGGAUAACUUCAGGAAACUGGGGCUAAUACCGGAUAGGAGCUCCUGCUGCAUGGUGGGGGUUGGAAAGUUUCGGCGGUUUGGGAUGGACUCGCGGCUUAUCAGCUUGUUGGUGGGGUAGUGGCUUACCAAGGCUUCGACGGGUAGCCGGCCUGAGAGGGUGACCGGCCACAUUGGGACUGAGAUACGGCCCAGACUGCUACGGGAGGCAGCAGUGGGGAAUAUUGCACAAUGGGCGGAAGUCUGAUGCAGCAACGCCGCGUGCGGGAUGACGGCCUUCGGGUUGUAAACCGCUUUCGCCUGUGACGAAGCGUGAGUGACGGUAAUGGGUAAAGAAGCACCGGCUAACUACGUG
RNAcentral lists this ribosomal RNA (468 nucleotides) under uncultured bacterium. RNAcentral describes it as "partial 16S ribosomal RNA". It matches the Rfam family "Bacterial small subunit ribosomal RNA", at positions 28 to 507 of the family's 1533-position model. The record is from RNAcentral.